UAAUGGAAUUCGUCAUCCUGGG
RNAcentral lists this non-coding RNA (22 nucleotides) under Drosophila melanogaster (fruit fly). Lineage: Eukaryota; Metazoa; Arthropoda; Insecta; Diptera; Drosophilidae. The record is from RNAcentral.